This is a long non-coding RNA of Arabidopsis thaliana (thale cress), 246 nucleotides long. RefSeq annotates it as other RNA. Lineage: Eukaryota; Viridiplantae; Streptophyta; Magnoliopsida; Brassicales; Brassicaceae. The record is from RefSeq. The transcript has a single exon.
AAACCACUAUUUGUAGAUUCCCUCUAUAUAGAGUCCACUCGAUCACACUUCAAAUCAAUUUGCCUCACUAUAACCAAACAAAAGAAGACCAUGUUAUUGAAAACAACUUCACUCUAUACUCUAUAGACACAUACACUACUUUACAUUUUAAAAAAUCAAAAUAAACCAUAUCAUCAUAUAUAACUCCAUAUCAUCCUAUCCAUUCUUCACAUUCUGCCAACUCCUUUACCAUGUGCCAUCAUCUCU